Molecule: non-coding RNA, 708 nt
Organism: Pantherophis guttatus
Lineage: Eukaryota; Metazoa; Chordata; Lepidosauria; Squamata; Colubridae
Source: RefSeq, a predicted model, not a curated record
AAUCUAUUCCCAGAAUUCCCAAGGUAGCACGGGGAAGUCUGGGAGCUGAAGUUCUAUACAACUUCAAGUUGCUGAGGUUAUAAAGCACUGCUCUGGACACUUCUGAUCAAGUCCCUUUUUAGAAGUAAACCAUUAACAGGAAGAAAACCUCCUCUUGGAAUUUUACUUAGUCUUGCAUGCACCCUUCCUCUGCAUUUCAACAUUAUUUUUGAUAGAUGGAUACUUCUAUUGCUCAUAAUUGCUACUCAAUGGCAGCUGGGAAAUUAAGAGCUUGUGGGUUCUAUCAUCUCCACAACACCCAAGACACAAGAAAAUCUAGUUUUGAAUGGAUCAAAGGUAUUCAAUUCUAGCACAGCAUCUUUUAAAGAAGUUCAAAUUGGAGGUGCCAUGGAACUGCCAAAGCAUUUGGGACACCGUGUUUCAUUUUUACUGUACAUAUUUCAGUUGUUAUAUAUUGCCUAAUGUAUAUUAAAGGCUUUUGAAAGAUUACAGAAAUAUUGUAUGGAAGUCAUGAAAAAAAUGAUUCUGGAGAACCAGUUUUAUUCAGCCAAGAAUCUCUGGAGAUUCAAAACACUAAUGGAAGAACUUUUGGAAAUAAUUGCACUAUAAUAAUGAAAAGUGGAUGACGUGAAUGGAUAUAUAAAUGAUACGUGAAACUGUUUUAAAUGGAAAGUUAAUAAAAGAAUAAAAAUGAAUAGUUCAAAGGAA